This 468-nucleotide ribosomal RNA is filed under the name uncultured bacterium. RNAcentral describes it as "partial 16S ribosomal RNA". It matches the Rfam family "Bacterial small subunit ribosomal RNA", at positions 28 to 507 of the family's 1533-position model. The record is from RNAcentral.
GACGAACGCUGGCGGCGUGCUUAACACAUGCAAGUCGAACGGAAAGGCCCUGCUUUUGUGGGGUGCUCGAGUGGCGAACGGGUGAGUAACACGUGAGUAACCUGCCCUUGACUUUUGGAUAACUUCAGGAAACUGGGGCUAAUACCGGAUAGGAGCUCCUGCUGCAUGGUGGGGGUUGGAAAGUUUCGGCGGUUGGGGAUGGACUCGCGGCUUACCAGCUUGUUGGUGGGGUAGUGGCUUACCAAGGCUUUGACGGGUAGCCGGCCUGAGAGGGUGACCGGCGACAUUGGGACUGAGAUACGGCCCAGACUCCUACGGGAGGCAGCAGUGGGGAAUAUUGCACAAUGGGCGGAAGCCUGAUGCAGCAACGCCGCGUGCGGGAUGAAGGCCUUCGGGUUGUAAACCGCUUUCGCCUGUGACGAAGCGUGAGUGACGGUAAUGGGUAAAGAAGCACCGGCUAACUACGUG